Nothobranchius furzeri (turquoise killifish) is the source of this 71-nucleotide non-coding RNA. The record is from Ensembl. Lineage: Eukaryota; Metazoa; Chordata; Actinopteri; Cyprinodontiformes; Nothobranchiidae.
UAGAGAGUGGUGUAAUGGGAGCACGAAGGGUUUUGAUCUCUUAAGUAGAGGUUCAAAUCCUCUUUUUCUAA